GCUGGGCAUGGUGGCUCGUGCCUGUAAUCCCAGCUCCUUGGGAGGCUGAGGCGGGAGGAUCAUUUGAGGCCAGGAGUUUUAGACCUGCCUGGGCAACAUAGUGAGACCUCGUUUCUA
This is an unclassified non-coding RNA of Callithrix jacchus (white-tufted-ear marmoset), 117 nucleotides long. It matches the Rfam family "Metazoan signal recognition particle RNA". From Rfam's summary of the family: The signal recognition particle (SRP) is a universally conserved ribonucleoprotein. It is involved in the co-translational targeting of proteins to membranes. The record is from Ensembl. NCBI's taxonomy places the organism in Eukaryota, Metazoa, Chordata, Mammalia, Primates, Cebidae.